Molecule: ribosomal RNA, 914 nt
Filed under: Lactiplantibacillus plantarum
Lineage: Bacteria; Bacillati; Bacillota; Bacilli; Lactobacillales; Lactobacillaceae
Description: bacterial SSU rRNA
Rfam family: Bacterial small subunit ribosomal RNA
Source: RNAcentral
UGCGCUUAUUGUUUGAAUCCUGCUCAUGACGAACGCUGGCGGCGUGCCUAAUACAUGCAAGUCGAACGAACUCUGGUAUUGAUUGGUGCUUGCAUCAUGAUUUACAUCUGAGUGAGUGGCGAACUGGUGAGUAACACGUGGGAAACCUGCCCAGAAGCGGGGGAUAACACCUGGAAACAGAUGCUAAUACCGCAUAACAACUUGGACCGCAUGGUCCGAGCUUGAAAGAUGGCUUCGGCUAUCACUUUUGGAUGGUCCCGCGGCGUAUUAGCUAGAUGGUGGGGUAACGGCUCACCAUGGCAAUGAUACGUAGCCGACCUGAGAGGGUAAUCGGCCACAUUGGGACUGAGACACGGCCCAAACUCCUACGGGAGGCAGCAGUAGGGAAUCUUCCACAAUGGACGAAAGUCUGAUGGAGCAACGCCGCGUGAGUGAAGAAGGGUUUCGGCUCGUAAAACUCUGUUGUUAAAGAAGAACAUAUCUGAGAGUAACUGUUCAGGUAUUGACGGUAUUUAACCAGAAAGCCACGGCUAACUACGUGCCAGCAGCCGCGGUAAUACGUAGGUGGCAAGCGUUGUCCGGAUUUAUUGGGCGUAAAGCGAGCGCAGGCGGUUUUUUAAGUCUGAUGUGAAAGCCUUCGGCUCAACCGAAGAAGUGCAUCGGAAACUGGGAAACUUGAGUGCAGAAGAGGACAGUGGAACUCCAUGUGUAGCGGUGAAAUGCGUAGAUAUAUGGAAGAACACCAGUGGCGAAGGCGGCUGUCUGGUCUGUAACUGACGCUGAGGCUCGAAAGUAUGGGUAGCAAACAGGAUUAGAUACCCUGGUAGUCCAUACCGUAAACGAUGAAUGCUAAGUGUUGGAGGGUUUCCGCCCUUCAGUGCUGCAGCUAACGCAUUAAGCAUUCCGCCCUGGGG